GAUGAACGCUGGCUACAGGCUUAACACAUGCAAGUCGAGGGGAAACGACGGGGAAGCUUGCUUCCCCGGGCGUCGACCGGCGCACGGGUGAGUAACGCGUAUCCAACCUGCCUCUGACUGAGGGAUAACCCGUCGAAAGUCGGCCUAAUACCUCAUGGUAUCGUCUGCGGGCAUCCAACGACGAUUAAAGAUUUCAUCGGUCAGGGAUGGGGAUGCGUCUGAUUAGCUUGUUGGCGGGGUAACGGCCCACCAAGGCUACGAUCAGUAGGGGUUCUGAGAGGAAGGUCCCCCACAUUGGAACUGAGACACGGUCCAAACUCCUACGGGAGGCAGCAGUGAGGAAUAUUGGUCAAUGGGCGAGAGCCUGAACCAGCCAAGUAGCGUGCAGGAAGACGGGCCUAUGGGUUGUAAACUGCUUUUAUGCGGGGAUAAAGUGAGGGACGUGUCCCUCAUUGCAGGUACCGCAUGAAUAAGGACCGGCUAAUUCCGUG
This 491-nucleotide ribosomal RNA is filed under the name uncultured bacterium. RNAcentral describes it as "partial 16S ribosomal RNA". It matches the Rfam family "Bacterial small subunit ribosomal RNA", at positions 28 to 507 of the family's 1533-position model. The record is from RNAcentral.